UUGAGAGCUUGCUUUUGAUAUUUUAGCGGCGGACGGGUGAGUAACGUGUGGGUAACCUGCCUUUUACUGUGGAAUAAUCGUUGGAAACGACGACUAAUACCGCAUACGGUUCUUGGAAGGCAUCUUCUAAGAAAGAAAGGAGUAAUUCGGUAAAAGAUGGGCCCGCAUCUGAUUAGCUAGUUGGUGAGAUAACAGCCCACCAAGGCAACGAUCAGUAGCCGACCUGAGAGGGUGACCGGCCACAUUGGGACUGAGACACGGCCCAAACUCCUACGGGAGGCAGCAGUGGGGAAUAUUGCACAAUGGGGGAAACCCUGAUGCAGCAACGCCGCGUGAAGGAAGACGGUUUUCGGAUUGUAAACUUCUAUCAAUAGGGAAGAAAGAAAUGACGGUACCUAAAUAAGAAGCCCCGGCUAACUACGUGCCAGCAGCCGCGGUAAUACGUAGGGGGCAAGCGUUAUCCGGAAUUACUGGGUGUAAAGGGAGAGUAGGCGGCAAGGUAAGCGAUAUGUGAAAGCCUUAGGCUUAACCAAAGGAUUGCAUAACGAACUAUCUAGCUAGAGUACAGGAGAGGAAAGCGGAAUUCCUAGUGUAGCGGUGAAAUGCGUAGAUAUUAGGAAGAACACCAGUGGCGAAGGCGGCUUUCUGGACUGAAACUGACGCUGAGGCUCGAAAGCGUGGGGAGCGAACAGGAUUAGAUACCCUGGUAGUCCACGCUGUAAACGAUGAGUGCUAGGUGUCGGGGAGGAAUUCCCGGUGCCGGAGCAAACGCAAUAAGCACUCCACCUGGGGUGUACGACCGCAAGGUUGAAACUCAAAGGAAUUGACGGGGGCCCGCACAAGCGGUGGAGCAUGUGGUUUAAUUCGAAAGCACGCGAAGAACCUUACCAAGGCUUGACAUACCUAUGACG
Molecule: ribosomal RNA, 911 nt
Filed under: uncultured bacterium
Lineage: Bacteria
Description: bacterial SSU rRNA
Rfam family: Bacterial small subunit ribosomal RNA
Source: RNAcentral